RNAcentral lists this ribosomal RNA (712 nucleotides) under Micractinium sp. KU212. Its description in RNAcentral is "eukaryotic LSU rRNA". The stretch from base 255 to 408 matches the Rfam family "5.8S ribosomal RNA". The record is from RNAcentral. Lineage: Eukaryota; Viridiplantae; Chlorophyta; Trebouxiophyceae; Chlorellales; Chlorellaceae.
GAUCGAUCGAUCCACCCUGUGAACCAAACGUCCCCCCUUGGGUGUGGGCUUGUCCUACCCCAAGGCGUCGGUCCCCUGGCUGGGGUCUUCGGACCGCAGUUAGGUCCGGCGGGCGCGCCCUCUGGUGUGUCGGUCCUCGUGGCCGCCGUCAGCUGGGUUCGUUGGAAAUUAUACUCAACUCAACCCACCCCAAACCUCAAGUUUUACUAAAGCAAUCAGUGAGUGCGCCUCGGUGCCUCACUUUAACCAAAGACAACUCUCAACAACGGAUAUCUUGGCUCCCGUAUCGAUGAAGAACGCAGCGAAAUGCGAUACGUAGUGUGAAUUGCAGAAUUCCGUGAACCAUCGAAUCUUUGAACGCAAAUUGCGCCCAAGGCUUCGGCCGAGGGCAUGUCUGCCUCAGCGUCGGCUUACCCCCUCGCUCCCCUUCUCUUUUGGAUUAGGUGUGAGCGGAUCUGGCCUUCCCGGCUCCGUGCUUUUGCGCGUCCGGGUCGGCUGAAGUGUAGAGGCUUGAGCAUGGACCCCGCUUGUAGGGCAAUGGCUUGGUAGGUAGCCUAGCUACACCGCCUGCCGUGGCCCGAGGGGACUUUGCUGGCGGCCCAGCAGGAAUUCGGGUGUUGGGUUCCCUAACCCCGAAAGCUAACACCUUCGACCUGAGCUCAGGCAAGACUACCCGCUGAACUUAAGCAUAUCAAUAAGCGGAGGAAAAGAA